RNAcentral lists this ribosomal RNA (440 nucleotides) under uncultured bacterium. RNAcentral describes it as "partial 16S ribosomal RNA". It matches the Rfam family "Bacterial small subunit ribosomal RNA", at positions 8 to 431 of the family's 1533-position model. The record is from RNAcentral.
AGAGUUUGAUUCUGGCUCAGGAUGAACGCUGGCGGCGUGCCUAACACAUGCAAGUCGAACGGGCGUACGGGAUGGAAGGCUCCGGCCGGAAGCCCCGUGCAUGAGUGGCGGACGGGUGAGUAACGCGUGGGCAACCUGCCCUGUACAGGGGGACAACACUUAGAAAUAGGUGCUAAUACCGCAUAACGGGGGGAGCCGCAUGGCACCCCCCCUGAAAACUCCGGUGGUACAGGAUGGGCCCGCGUCUGAUUAGCUGGUUGGCAGGGUAACGGCCUACCAAGGCGACGAUCAGUAGCCGGCCUGAGAGGGCGGACGGCCACACUGGGACUGAGACACGGCCCAAACUCCUACNGGAGGCAGCAGUGGGGGAUAUUGCACAAUGGGGGGAACCCUGAUGCAGCGACGCCGCGUGGGUGAAGGACCGUUUCGGCGCGUAAAGC